AUUGAACGCUGGCGGCAGGCCUAACACAUGCAAGUCGAGCGGAUGAAGGGAGCUUGCUCCUGGAUUCAGCGGCGGACGGGUGAGUAAUGCCUAGGAAUCUGCCUGGUAGUGGGGGAUAACGUCCGGAAACGGGAGCUAAUACCGCAUACGUCCUGAGGGAGAAAGUGGGGGAUCUUCGGACCUCACGCUAUUAGAUGAGCCUAGGUCGGAUUAGCUAGUUGGUGGGGUAAAGGCCUACCAAGGCGACGAUCCGUAACUGGUCUGAGAGGAUGAUCAGUCACACUGGAACUGAGACACGGUCCAGACUCCUACGGGAGGCAGCAGUGGGGAAUAUUGGACAAUGGGCGAAAGCCUGAUCCAGCCAUGCCGCGUGUGUGAAGAAGGUCUUCGGAUUGUAAAGCACUUUAAGUUGGGAGGAAGGGCAGUAAGUUAAUACCUUGCUGUUUUGACGUUACCAACAGAAUAAGCACCGGCUAACUUCGUG
This 484-nucleotide ribosomal RNA is filed under the name uncultured bacterium. Its description in RNAcentral is "partial 16S ribosomal RNA". It matches the Rfam family "Bacterial small subunit ribosomal RNA", at positions 30 to 507 of the family's 1533-position model. The record is from RNAcentral.